Molecule: ribosomal RNA, 253 nt
Filed under: uncultured bacterium
Lineage: Bacteria
Description: partial 16S ribosomal RNA
Rfam family: Bacterial small subunit ribosomal RNA
Source: RNAcentral
UACGUAGGGUGCAAGCGUUAAUCGGAAUUACUGGGCGUAAAGCGUGCGCAGGCGGUGAUGUAAGACAGGUGUGAAAUCCCCGGGCUUAACCUGGGAACUGCAUUUGUGACUGCAUCGCUGGAGUGCGGCAGAGGGGAUGGAAUUCCGCGUGUAGCAGUGAAAUGCGUAGAUAUGCGGAGGAACACCGAUGGCGAAGGCAAUCCCCUGGGCCUGCACUGACGCUCAUGCACGAAAGCGUGGGGAGCAAACAGGG